This is a long non-coding RNA of Sarcophilus harrisii (Tasmanian devil), 1638 nucleotides long. RefSeq lists it as uncharacterized. Lineage: Eukaryota; Metazoa; Chordata; Mammalia; Dasyuromorphia; Dasyuridae. The record is from RefSeq and is a predicted model, not a curated record. The transcript has 5 exons.
GGUAUAGAAGCUCCUUGCAUGCAUGAUUUUAUUUACUUCUCACAAUAAGCCUUCAAGGUAGACACAGAAGGGUGGAGUGAAUAUGAGGGUUUAGAGGUGAAGAAAUGUACACUCAGAAAUGAGGGAAAGGGUACCUGGGAAGUGCUCUAUGUGAACUAUCCCUUUCCACCUUCCCCCUCACAGUACAGCUCCCACUCCCCCAGUACAUAGACUACUUCCAGAAGAUCAAAUAUGCCUUCAAUCUCUUGGUAGGUCAACCCUUUGUAGGAAGAGUCCUGGAGCCAAUCUCCUCCUCUGGGUUUCUUCCCUUCCAAAUCCAUUUCCACCUCAUCCUUCACCCACCCCCAUUAUGAACUCUACUUCUUCUCCAUAGCUUCUUUCCAAAAUCAGCUCCUACCUCUUAGCCUUCUUCACUCCAAAAUCCAUCACAGUACCCCUAUGUUGCCCCCUCUAUUGCCUGGGUUUCCAGUGAGUUGGCCAUUCACAAAUAGAGAAUGGUGUCCAAUCACUUCCAUUCCCUCUCUGGAGUAUUUGGCUGUAGGAGGAGGGGGGGUUACCUUUUUGUGUCCCCAGGGGAAGACAAGCCACUUCCUGGAAGAGUCCAGUGUCCGAGAAUUAGUCUUCAGCUUCUUCCAGUCUCUGGAAUAUGUCAUUUAUUAUUGCCCUGACAACACCCUGCCAAAACAGAUAAACUCUCCCUUGCUGACAGACAAUGCCAUAAAUUUACUGAAAAUGAACCUGAAACCAAACCAGAUUACGUACUGGAGAGAAUUUGGAAAUGCUUGGACUAAAUCACGAAACUCUUGGCCAAGUGAAUGCAGACCCCCGGCCUACAUACCCACCUUUUAUGAUGGCUGGAAGCUCCCCGAAAUUGAGCCAGUCAAGGCUUCCACCCAGACUCCCUCGGCUUCGAAGUUUUGACCAGAUUCCUACUCCCCUGGGUCAAGCCCUCCGGCAGACAGUUGCUAAGGACCAAGGAGAGCAACAGAUUGGAGGACACCCCUUUUCUCCCACUCCCAUUUCUCACAGUUGGAAAUUUCUCUUCUGUUCUUCCACUCUUCUGCUCUGAAGUUGACCCACCCUGUUUUUUCACUUUGUCCCAGAGAAGAAAGACAAGAAGAUUUCAAAAUCUCUAAAAUUUCCCAAAGGAACCUCAGGAGCUUUGCACUCCAGUCUAUAUUUAAAGGAAUGUCUGUGACAGUAUCCCUUACCCAGGGGCUUAAAGACCUCCAUUGAGGGGAAGUCCAUUGCCUCUUGAUGAAGCUCAUUCUGCUUUGAGCCAGCUUGAUUAUGAGGAAUCUUUUUCUAACAUCAGCUUAAAUUUGCUUUUUUACAUCUCAGACCUCUUAUCUUUAGUUUAAUCUAUAGGAUCAAAUGGAGCUAGAUUGUCUCCCCCUUCUUUCUUUUCCAGGAUAUACCUUCCCAUCCCCUUCAACUCAUUGUCACAUGAAUUCAAAUCGACCGCCUUCACCAUUCUGGUUGAGGCAAGAGGUGAUGGCUUUCAUUCCUGACUCUUAAUAAGACCUAGAGUCAUCCCUCAAUUUUAUAUAUCUUUUCUUCUCACUUGUAUCCAACCCCAAAUUCUGGCAUUUAUCCUACUUUUCUCCCUUUCCCUGUUCCUCCCAAUAAACCAAUGUU